Molecule: long non-coding RNA, 492 nt
Filed under: Nicotiana benthamiana
Lineage: Eukaryota; Viridiplantae; Streptophyta; Magnoliopsida; Solanales; Solanaceae
Description: long non-coding RNA (NBEN_LNC030793)
Source: RNAcentral
GAGGAAGAAGAUACAGAAGUUGUUUUAAUAUUUUCAGAAACCCUAAAUUGAAACAGGCUAAAUUUGAAAAAGAAAAAUUGGGGAAAAGCUUUAAAACGUUGAAUACAACAUAGAUUCAUCACAGGUUUACACAAAUAAAAGAAUAAGGAACCUCGAAAUAGCUUUAGGGUUUUUCAGAAACCCUAGAAAUGAGAAGGCUUGGAAAUGUCUGGUCUCGAAUAGGUCUGAGCAGUAGCUAGGCUCUUAAAUCUUAAACACGUCGGAACAGAGCCGGAGAGGCCAUAGAAGCACAGAUCGGCGGAGGAUCUGAACAUGCUUCGUUGAGGUCAGACCUCAAAUCCUUGAAAAACCAGGGCCUGGAAGUUGAAGCAGGUGAGCACAGGUUGUCCAUGGCCUGAGAAGCCAUGGACUCCGGUGAAGAUUGAUAGGAGAAGACGAGGGAGAUGAUUAGGAUUUCGAGGGCUUGAGAGCAUUUCAGAGGAAGAAAGUUCG